GAUGAACGCUGGCGGCGUGCCUAAUACAUGCAAGUAGAACGCUGAAGGAGGAGCUUGCUCUUCUGGAUGAGUUGCGAACGGGUGAGUAACGCGUAGGUAACCUGCCUGGUAGCGGGGGAUAACUAUUGGAAACGAUAGCUAAUACCGCAUGACAACAGUUAUUGCAUGAUAACUGUUUAAAAGGGGCAACUGCUCCACUACCAGAUGGACCUGCGUUGUAUUAGCUAGUUGGUGAGGUAACGGCUCACCAAGGCGACGAUACAUAGCCGACCUGAGAGGGGGAUCGGCCACACUGGGACUGAGACACGGCCCAGACUCCUACGGGAGGCAGCAGUAGGGAAUCUUCGGCAAUGGACGGAAGUCUGACCGAGCAACGCCGCGUGAGUGAAGAAGGUUUUCGGAUCGUAAAGCUCUGUUGUAAGAGAAGAACGAGUGUGAGAGUGGAAAGUUCACACUGUGACGGUAUCUGACCAGAAAGGGACGGCUAACUACGUG
Molecule: ribosomal RNA, 495 nt
Filed under: uncultured bacterium
Lineage: Bacteria
Description: partial 16S ribosomal RNA
Rfam family: Bacterial small subunit ribosomal RNA
Source: RNAcentral